RNAcentral lists this ribosomal RNA (200 nucleotides) under uncultured bacterium. Its description in RNAcentral is "partial 16S ribosomal RNA". It matches the Rfam family "Bacterial small subunit ribosomal RNA", at positions 524 to 723 of the family's 1533-position model. The record is from RNAcentral.
UACAGAGGGUGCGAGCGUUAAUCGGAAUUAUUGGGCGUAAAGGGCGCGUAGGUGGAUGAUUAAGUGAUAUGUGAAAGACCCGGGCUUAACCUGGGGUGGUCAUGUCAUACUGGUCAUCUAGAGUUCAGUAGAGGAAAGUGGAAUUCCCGGUGUAGCGGUGAAAUGCGUAGAUAUCGGGAGGAACAUCAGUGGCGAAGGCG